This 468-nucleotide ribosomal RNA is filed under the name uncultured bacterium. RNAcentral's name for it is "partial 16S ribosomal RNA". It matches the Rfam family "Bacterial small subunit ribosomal RNA", at positions 28 to 507 of the family's 1533-position model. The record is from RNAcentral.
GACGAACGCUGGCGGCGUGCUUAACACAUGCAAGUCGAACGGAAAGGCCCUGCUUUUGUGGGGUGCUCGAGUGGCGAACGGGUGAGUAACACGUGAGUAACCUGCCCUUGACUUUGGUAUAACUUCAGGAAACUGGGGCUAAUACCGGAUAGGAGCUCCUGCAGCAUGUUGGGGGUUGGAAAGUUUCGGCGGUUGGGGAUGGACUCGCGGCUUAUCAGCUUGUUGGUGGGGUAGUGGCUUACCAAGGCUUUGACGGGUAGCCGGCCUGAGAGGGUGACCGGCCACAUUGGGACUGAGAUACGGACCAGAAUCCUACGGGAGGCAGCAGUGGGGAAUAUUGCACAAUGGGCGGAAGCCUGAUGCAGCAACGCCGCGUGCGGGAUGACGGCCUUCGGGUUGUAAACCGCUUUCGCCUGUGACGAAGCGUGAGUGACGGUAAUGGGUAAAGAAGCACCGGCUAACUACGUG